This 253-nucleotide unclassified non-coding RNA is filed under the name uncultured Pseudobdellovibrionaceae bacterium. RNAcentral's name for it is "uncultured Bdellovibrionaceae bacterium contains 16S-23S intergenic spacer region". It matches the Rfam family "Bacterial small subunit ribosomal RNA", at positions 524 to 776 of the family's 1533-position model. Lineage: Bacteria; Pseudomonadati; Bdellovibrionota; Bdellovibrionia; Bdellovibrionales; Pseudobdellovibrionaceae. The record is from RNAcentral.
UACAGAGGGUGCAAGCGUUAAUCGGAUUUACUGGGCGUAAAGCGUACGCAGACGGCCACGCAGGUCGGGUGUGAAAGCCCCGGGCUCAACCCGGGAAUUGCAUUCGAAACCAUGUGGCUCGAGUGUGGGAGAGGGUAGUGGAAUUCCUGGUGUAGAGGUGAAAUUCGUAGAAAUCAGGAGGAACACCGGCGGCGAAGGCGGCUACCUGGUCCACAACUGACGUUCAGGUACGAAAGCGUGGGGAGCAAACAGG